This 473-nucleotide ribosomal RNA is filed under the name uncultured Eubacteriales bacterium. RNAcentral describes it as "uncultured Clostridiales bacterium partial 16S ribosomal RNA". The record is from RNAcentral. Lineage: Bacteria; Bacillati; Bacillota; Clostridia; Eubacteriales.
CACGUAGUUUGCCGGGGCUUUCUUACGAGGUACCGUCAUUCUUCAUCCCUCGCGACAGAAGUUUACAAUCCGAAAACCUUCAUCCUUCACGCGGCGUUGCUGGGUCAGAGUUCCCUCCAUUGCCCAAUAUUCCCCACUGCUGCCUCCCGUAGGAGUUUGGACCGUAUCUCAGUUCCAAUGUGGCCGUUUACCCUCUCAGGUCGGCUACCCAUCGUUGACUUGGUGGGCCGUUACCUCACCAACUAUCUAAUGGGACGCGAGCCCAUCUCUGUCCAGUAACCUUUUUACCCCAAUACGAUGCCGUAUCGUGGUCUUAUUCGGUAUUAGCACCUAUUUCUAAGUGUUAUCCCGAUGACAGAGGCAGGUUGCUCACGCGUUACUCACCCGUCCGCCGCUAACGUAUUGCUACGUCCGCUCGACUUGCAUGUGUUAAGCACGCCGCCAGCGUUCGUCCUGAGCCAGGAUCAAACUCU